UUGAAAUUGGACGUUUAAUCAUAGAGCCCUUACAACGAACAGUGACAACUCGCGUCAAGUUAUCUCUACCCGGAUGCAGCUCUACAAUUCUGCCAUACAACCACUUAGCUGGAGUUGCAGCAGGAGUUGACAUCUUCACAGAAUAAUCAAAUUCAUCAGUGUUCCGAUUCCAGAUUGACACCCAGUCAUCAGAUCGUCCAUAUAAAAGUCUGACUUCACUCUUUCAGCAGCCAUUGGAUACCUCUCGCCUUCAUCGCACGCAACUUGCUGCAACGACUUUACAGCCAAGUAAGGAGCGCAUGACGUACCAAAGGUGACAGUCAGAAGUCGGUAAUCCUCGAUCUCUUUGUUUGGAUUCUCUCUCCAAACAAUUCUUUGAUAAUCUGUAUCAGGUCGAGCGACCUUGAUUUGGCGAUACAU
Molecule: non-coding RNA, 420 nt
Organism: Spodoptera litura
Lineage: Eukaryota; Metazoa; Arthropoda; Insecta; Lepidoptera; Noctuidae
Source: RefSeq, a predicted model, not a curated record